This 429-nucleotide ribosomal RNA is filed under the name uncultured bacterium. RNAcentral's name for it is "bacterial SSU rRNA". It matches the Rfam family "Bacterial small subunit ribosomal RNA", at positions 355 to 776 of the family's 1533-position model. The record is from RNAcentral.
UAGGGAAUAUUGCACAAUGGGCGCAAGCCUGAUGCAGCCAUGCCGCGUGUAUGAAGAAGGCCUUCGGGUUGUAAAGUACUUUCAGCGGGGAGGAAGGGAGUAAAGUUAAUACCUUUGCUCAUUGACGUUACCCGCAGAAGAAGCACCGGCUAACUCCGUGCCAGCAGCCGCGGUAAUACGGAGGGUGCAAGCGUUAAUCGGAAUUACUGGGCGUAAAGCGCACGCAGGCGGUCUGUCAAGUCGGAUGUGAAAUCCCCGGGCUCAACCUGGGAACUGCAUUCGAAACUGGCAGGCUGGAGUCUUGUAGAGGGGGGUAGAAUUCCAGGUGUAGCGGUGAAAUGCGUAGAGAUCUGGAGGAAUACCGGUGGCGAAGGCGGCCCCCUGGACAAAGACUGACGCUCAGGUGCGAAAGCGUGGGGAGCAAACAGG